Molecule: small RNA, 133 nt
Filed under: Klebsiella variicola
Lineage: Bacteria; Pseudomonadati; Pseudomonadota; Gammaproteobacteria; Enterobacterales; Enterobacteriaceae
Description: RtT sRNA
Rfam family: RtT RNA
About the family: This family represents a bacterial cis-regulatory element known as RtT RNA. The exact function of RtT is unknown although it is thought that it may be involved in changing the cellular response in relation to amino acid starvation.
Source: RNAcentral
GAUUCUGCCCUACGGGGAAGGAUAAGAACCUUCGACUAAGGUUCGACUCGAGCGCCAGCGAGAGAACGUUGCCACAGGCAACGGCCCGAAGGGCGAGGAGCGAUAGCGACGAGUUAUCCUUCCCCCAGCACCA